UGCCUCUGAUGUGAAUCGAACACACAUCUUUCCCUUUUCAGGGGAACGCUCUAAUCCAUUGAGCUACAAAGGC
This 73-nucleotide transfer RNA is filed under the name Terrestrivirus sp. RNAcentral's name for it is "tRNA-Phe". Lineage: Varidnaviria; Bamfordvirae; Nucleocytoviricota; Megaviricetes; Imitervirales; Mimiviridae. The record is from RNAcentral.